Molecule: ribosomal RNA, 1314 nt
Filed under: metagenome
Description: bacterial LSU rRNA
Rfam family: Bacterial large subunit ribosomal RNA
Source: RNAcentral
CGGUAACCAGGAACCGUACCCCAAACCGACACAGGUGGUUGGGUAGAGAAUACCAAGGCGCUUGAGAGAACUCGGGUGAAGGAACUAGGCAAAAUGGCACCGUAACUUCGGGAGAAGGUGCGCCGGUGAGGGUGAAGCAUUUACUGCGUAAGCCCAUGCCGGUCGAAGAUACCAGGCCGCUGCGACUGUUUAUUAAAAACACAGCACUCUGCAAACACGAAAGUGGACGUAUAGGGUGUGACGCCUGCCCGGUGCCGGAAGGUUAAUUGAUGGGGUUAGCUAACGCGAAGCUCUUGAUCGAAGCCCCGGUAAACGGCGGCCGUAACAAUAACGGUCCUAAGGUAGCGAAAUUCCUUGUCGGGUAAGUUCCGACCUGCACGAAUGGCGUAACGAUGGCGGCGCUGUCUCCACCCGAGACUCAGUGAAAUUGAAAUCGCUGUGAAGAUGCAGUGUAUCCGCGGCUAGACGGAAAGACCCCGUGAACCUUUACUAUAGCUUUGCACUGGACUUUGAAUUUGCUUGUGUAGGAUAGGUGGGAGGCUUUGAAGCGUGGACGCCAGUUCGCGUGGAGCCAACCUUGAAAUACCACCCUGGCAACUUUGAGGUUCUAACUCAGGUCCGUUAUCCGGAUCGAGGACAGUGUAUGGUGGGUAGUUUGACUGGGGCGGUCUCCUCCUAAAGAGUAACGGAGGAGUACGAAGGUGCGCUCAGACCGGUCGGAAAUCGGUCGUAGAGUAUAAAGGCAAAAGCGCGCUUGACUGCGAGACAGACACGUCGAGCAGGUACGAAAGUAGGUCUUAGUGAUCCGGUGGUUCUGUAUGGAAGGGCCAUCGCUCAACGGAUAAAAGGUACUCCGGAUAACAGGCUGAUACCGCCCAAGAGUUCAUAUCGACGGCGGUGUUUGGCACCUCGAUGUCGGCUCAUCACAUCCUGGGGCUGAAGCCGGUCCCAAGGGUAUGGCUGUUCGCCAUUUAAAGUGGUACGCGAGCUGGGUUUAGAACGUCGUGAGACAGUUCGGUCCCUAUCUGCCGUGGACGUUUGAGAUUUGAGAGGGGCUGCUCCUAGUACGAGAGGACCGGAGUGGACGAACCUCUGGUGUUCCGGUUGUCACGCCAGUGGCAUUGCCGGGUAGCUAUGUUCGGAAUAGAUAACCGCUGAAAGCAUCUAAGCGGGAAACUAGCCUCAAGAUGAGAUCUCACUGGGACCUUGAGUCCCCUGAAGGGCCGUCGAAGACUACGACGUUGAUAGGUUGGGUGUGUAAGCGCUGUGAGGCGUUGAGCUAACCAAUACUAAUUGCCCGUGAGGCUUGAACAA